GCUUGAUAAAGGUGGAACUCUUCUUCUUUGGCGUAGGCCCUUGGUCAUAAAGGAUGUUAUUUCGAACUUAUCAAAAUGUUAACCCGUAGUCGUUCGAUCAAGGUCGAACUCUUCUUCUUUGGAGAAGGCCCUUGUCCUUAAACGGUGUUUAUUUCUAACUUGUAGAAAUAUUAACCCGUCGUCGUACGAUCAAGGUCGAACUCUUCUUCUUUGGCGAAGGCCCUUGGCCUUAAAGGGUGUCUUUUCGAAGUUAUCAAAAUGUUAACCCGUCGUCAUUCGAUCAAGGUCGAACUCUUCUUCUUUGGUGAAGGCCCUUGGCCUUAAAGUGUAUUAUUUCGAACUUGUCGAAAUGUUAACCCGUCGUCGUUCGAUCAAGGUUGAAUUC
This 385-nucleotide long non-coding RNA is filed under the name Nicotiana tabacum (common tobacco). Its description in RNAcentral is "long non-coding RNA (NTAB_LNC007203)". Lineage: Eukaryota; Viridiplantae; Streptophyta; Magnoliopsida; Solanales; Solanaceae. The record is from RNAcentral.